Molecule: ribosomal RNA, 790 nt
Filed under: uncultured Staphylococcus sp.
Lineage: Bacteria; Bacillati; Bacillota; Bacilli; Caryophanales; Staphylococcaceae
Description: bacterial SSU rRNA
Rfam family: Bacterial small subunit ribosomal RNA
Source: RNAcentral
CCUAUAAGACUGGGAUAACUUCGGGAAACCGGAGCUAAUACCGGAUAACAUUUAGAACCGCAUGGUUCUAAAGUGAAAGAUGGUUUUGCUAUCACUUAUAGAUGGACCCGCGCCGUAUUAGCUAGUUGGUAAGGUAACGGCUUACCAAGGCGACGAUACGUAGCCGACCUGAGAGGGUGAUCGGCCACACUGGAACUGAGACACGGUCCAGACUCCUACGGGAGGCAGCAGUAGGGAAUCUUCCGCAAUGGGCGAAAGCCUGACGGAGCAACGCCGCGUGAGUGACGAAGGGUUUCGGCUCGUAAAACUCUGUUAUUAGGGAAGAACAAAUGUGUAAGUAACUGUGCACAUCUUGACGGUACCUAAUCAGAAAGCCACGGCUAACUACGUGCCAGCAGCCGCGGUAAUACGUAGGUGGCAAGCGUUAUCCGGAAUUAUUGGGCGUAAAGCGCGCGUAGGCGGUUUCUUAAGUCUGAUGUGAAAGCCCACGGCUCAACCGUGGAGGGUCAUUGGAAACUGGGAAACUUGAGUGCAGAAGAGGAAAGUGGAAUUCCAUGUGUAGCGGUGAAAUGCGCAGAGAUAUGGAGGAACACCAGUGGCGAAGGCGACUUUCUGGUCUGUAACUGACGCUGAUGUGCGAAAGCGUGGGGAUCAAACAGGAUUAGAUACCCUGGUAGUCCACGCCGUAAACGAUGAGUGCUAAGUGUUAGGGGGUUUCCGCCCCUUAGUGCUGCAGCUAACGCAUUAAGCACUCCGCCUGGGGAGUACGACCGCAAGGUUGAAACUCAAA